Molecule: non-coding RNA, 72 nt
Filed under: Escherichia coli
Lineage: Bacteria; Pseudomonadati; Pseudomonadota; Gammaproteobacteria; Enterobacterales; Enterobacteriaceae
Description: naRNA4
Rfam family: Nucleoid-associated noncoding RNA 4 (CssrE)
About the family: In E. coli small RNA transcribed from repeated extragenic palindromic element (REP325) called nucleoid-associated ncRNA 4 (nRNA4) collaborates HU protein in condensing the DNA.
Source: RNAcentral
GGCCGGAUAAGGCGUUUACGCCGCAUCCGGCAAUCAACGCCUGAUGCGAGGCUGGUUGCGUCUUAUCAGGCC